UUACUCACAUGACUGCUUACGCUUUAUCAGU
Molecule: non-coding RNA, 31 nt
Filed under: Mus musculus (house mouse)
Lineage: Eukaryota; Metazoa; Chordata; Mammalia; Rodentia; Muridae
Source: RNAcentral